GCGAUAAUGUUCCACUGGACACCCGACACGCACCAGGAAACCGCGUGCUGCACCCACCUCCCACCUCCCACCUUCGCCCGGUUACCAGCCGCUCGGUGAUUCCUUUAGUUACACCGUAAGAAAAGAACAAUUUGGAGGAAGGAAUGAAAAAAGAACACAAGCCCCGACCAACCUGUUCUACCACCGGGCUUCUUUCCAACUCCUGAGGUCGUUGUUGUAUUCCGUGUUCACUCAGCGCAGAAACAGAGGAUUAUUCCUGGAAACAUUCUUUUUUUUUUUUUCAAAGUUAUCAAGGCCGUCUGAUCAAGGAAAUGUCACCACAUUUUUCUUGGUGCAUUGCCGCCAGUGGAAGUGUGCGUUACCA
Molecule: long non-coding RNA, 364 nt
Organism: Gasterosteus aculeatus aculeatus (three-spined stickleback)
Lineage: Eukaryota; Metazoa; Chordata; Actinopteri; Perciformes; Gasterosteidae
Source: Ensembl